AUGUUAGUGACACGCAUGAGGAUCUUGAUGAGGACAACUACUAUGAUUGCGAUGAGGAUGCAUUCGUAGACUCUGGUGCUUAUUCGAAAGCAUAGGGUGGCUGGGAUAGCUCUCCUGAACUUCCUUGCAGCAGUGCACGCCGUUUUAGCAUUGAACCGGUACUUGGCAUACCGUACAUCCUGUUCCCCUUCUAUUUCUUGUACUGCGAGUUGCAUGUUUAUCUUUCACCUUUACUUUGCAAGUUGCUGA
This 249-nucleotide long non-coding RNA is filed under the name Prunus dulcis (almond). RNAcentral describes it as "sRNA ncRNA". The record is from RNAcentral. Lineage: Eukaryota; Viridiplantae; Streptophyta; Magnoliopsida; Rosales; Rosaceae.